Molecule: ribosomal RNA, 435 nt
Filed under: Elysia zuleicae
Lineage: Eukaryota; Metazoa; Mollusca; Gastropoda; Plakobranchidae
Description: partial 16S ribosomal RNA
Rfam family: Bacterial large subunit ribosomal RNA
Source: RNAcentral
GCCUGUUUAUCAAAAACAUAGCUUGAAGAAUUUAUUUCAGGUGGAACCUGCCCAGUGCUGAAAUGUAAACGGCCGCAGUACCUUGACUGUGCUAAGGUAGCAUAAUCAGUUGGCUUUUAAAUGGAGUCGGGAAUGAAUGGACAAAUAGGGUUAAGCUGUCUCCUCUAUAAUUAUUUGAACUUGCUUAUUAGGUGAAAAUGCCUAAUUUAAGAAAAAAGACGAGAAGACCCUAGGAGUUUUGACUAUUUACUAUAAUUAUAGUUAACGUUUUUGUUGGGGCGACACAGGAGCAUAUUAAAACCUCCUUCACACAUUUGCCGACUUUGUAAGGGCAAUCAAACUACCCUAGGGAUAACAGCGUAAUUCUUUUAGAGCUUGCGACCUCGAUGUUGGACUAGGAAUUUGGUAGGCUAGCCGCCUAUUUUUAUUGUUCUG